Non-coding RNA from Acanthosepion pharaonis, 107 nucleotides. Lineage: Eukaryota; Metazoa; Mollusca; Cephalopoda; Sepiida; Sepiidae. The record is from the annotation of a GenBank genome assembly.
UUGCGGCUAUGUUACGUUGAAACACCGGUUCUCAUCCGAUCACCGAAUGUAAGCAAUGUUGAACCUGGUCAGUACAUAGAUGGGUAACCGUUCUGGAAUACCAGGAC